UACGGCUACCUUGUUACGACUUCACCCCAGUCAUGAACCACACCGUGGUAAUCGCCAUCCCGAAGGUUAAGCUAACUACUUCUGGUGCAACCCACUCCCAUGGUGUGACGGGCGGUGUGUACAAGGCCCGGGAACGUAUUCACCGCGACAUUGCUGAUUCGCGAUUACUAGCGAUUCCGACUUCACGCAGUCGAGUUGCAGACUGCGAUCCGGACUAAGAUCGGCUUUCUGGGAUUAGCUCCCCCUCGCGAGAUUGCGACCCUCUGUACCGACCAUUGUAGCACGUGUGUAGCCCAGCCCAUAAGGGCCAUGAUGACUUGACGUCGUCCCCACCUUCCUCCGGUUUAUCACCGGCAGUCUCCUUAGAGUUCCCACCAUUACGUGCUGGCAAAUAAGGAUAAGGGUUGCGCUCGUUGCGGGACUUAACCCAACAUCUCACGACACGAGCUGACGACAGCCAUGCAGCACCUGUCACUGGAUUCCCGAAGGCACCUAUGUAUCUCUACAAAGUUCCCAGGAUGUCAAGGGCUGGUAAGGUUCUUCGCGUUGCAUCGAAUUAAACCACAUGCUCCACCGCUUGUGCGGGCCCCCGUCAAUCCCUUUGAGUUUCAACCUUGCGGCCGUACUCCCCAGGCGGUCAACUUAACGCGUUAGCUUCGACACAAAGUUCAUUAAAGAACCCUACGUCUAGUUGACAUC
This 699-nucleotide ribosomal RNA is filed under the name uncultured bacterium. RNAcentral describes it as "partial 16S ribosomal RNA". The record is from RNAcentral.